Zingiber officinale is the source of this 1293-nucleotide RNA transcript. It is a transcript of the gene named auxin response factor 2A-like, with no coding region annotated. The record is from RefSeq and is a predicted model, not a curated record. The transcript has 4 exons. Lineage: Eukaryota; Viridiplantae; Streptophyta; Magnoliopsida; Zingiberales; Zingiberaceae.
UCCCUCUUCUCGCGUGAUUCUCUUCCUCGCGCCAAGCUAGGGCAGCGGCGACAACUCCCCACACCGCGCCUCCUUCUUCUUUCUUCUCUCUGGCCGGCGGCUUCUCCUUUGCUUUCACUGCCGCCGGCCGGCCAGCCAAUACAGUCCACUCUUUUCUUCUUCUCAGAUUCCAGAGGCGAGCGGCAGCAACAACUCGGCAAGGGGCAGCAACCUUCGGCGGCAGAUCCGACCAACUCCACCUUGCCGGAGGGGUUCUCCGGCAAGAACCUUCACCUCCGGAUGUUCUUUCUUCACUCCUGCCUUCUGGGGUUCAGGCGGCAGUAAGAAGAAGGCAGCAAAUGGAUUCAUCUCCAUUUUCGAUCAGGUUCCAGCAGAGGGGUUCUCGCUGGAGGAUUCGUUCAUUGUCCCCAUUUGUGUCGAAGAGUGCAGCGACCAGCAGAGUGAGCUACUGUCCAACGGUUUUAGGGGUUCCGAGCCGGGCCUUUCGUGUGAUGGCGAAGGGUUCAUAAGCAGGGUGUUGCACUUGGAAGAUCUGUUGACUUGACAAAGUUUGAUGGUUAUGACCAAUUGAUCGAGGAGUUAGAUCAGCUAUUUGAAUUCAAAGGAGAAUUGAUGGCUCCAAAUAAAAAUUGGAUGAUUGUAUUUACUGAUAAUGAGGAUGAUAUGAUGCUUGUUGGAGAUGACCCUUGGCAGGAAUUUUGUGCUAUGGUCCGUCAGAUUUUUAUAUACACAAAAGAGGAGGUCCAGAAGAUGGAUUCAAGUACCUUGAACCCAAAAAAUGAAGAUUGUCCUGAUAUGAACGAGAAUGUCAAGGAAACAAAAGGAAGUCAAUCUGCAUCAUCAUCUAAUUCAAAAAACUCAUAGGCUUAUCCUGCAAUGUCUAGUGAAAAUACUAAAGAAGUAUGACAAGAGAACAGAAGCACUUAUCAGGCAGCCCUUCAUCGAAAAGGUGUUGCAGCAGCCAUUCUUUACAACUGAUCUCCUAUACAAACUCGUGAAGGAGUGUGUGGCUAUGCUCGACCACCUCUUCCCCAGCAACAACCUGUCAAUUUCAGCAGAAUGCGAUGGACAAAAUGGAGUGCCAAAGUCUGCACAAUUAGGUGGGAGGGUUCCGGAGUUGGAGGAGAUUAAAUAUAUGCAGAGCUUAUACAUGAAGAGCACCGUAGCAGCGCUGCGGUCCUUGAAACAGAUUAGGAGCAAAAGUUUAACAGUCAAAAUAGAUUAGAAAAUCUCGUGUUAUAUUGUUCUACCUUUAUUUUAAUAGUGUUAUCAUUUUGUUAGUUGCUUAUGAAA